RNAcentral lists this ribosomal RNA (253 nucleotides) under uncultured bacterium. RNAcentral describes it as "partial 16S ribosomal RNA". It matches the Rfam family "Bacterial small subunit ribosomal RNA", at positions 524 to 776 of the family's 1533-position model. The record is from RNAcentral.
UACGUAGGGGGCAAGCGUUGUCCGGAUUUAUUGGGCGUAAAGCGCGUGUAGGCGGCCAGACAGGUCCGUUGUGAAAACUCGAGGCUCAACCUCGAGACGCCGAUGGAAACCGUCUGGCUAGAGUCCGGAAGAGGAGAGUGGAAUUCCUGGUGUAGCGGUGAAAUGCGCAGAUAUCAGGAAGAACACCCGUGGCUAAGGCGGCUCUCUAGUACGGUACUGACGCUGAGACGCGAAAGCGUGGGGAGCGAACAGG